CGAUCGCUGUCACCGUUCUGCAUUUCCCUGAGCCGCUAAUACCACCAUAUUCUUCCAAUUUCAUUCAUGUUCCGUGAGAGUUGGCUACUGCAGUUUCUGUUUUGGGGUUUUCCGCCAUUGAAGCUACCAUCAACAGCGCCACUCUCCAUUUUGAUUCCAAUUUUGUAAUUCGAAAACCUGCUCAACGUGCAGGUUGCCUGUUGAAGAAAAUUCUGCAAGUCAUUGAGUUGCAUGUUUCACAUCAAGCAAAAAGCAUAAAAAAUGAAAACAAUAUUUUCAAGGCUCGUGAGGAGAAGUACCAAUCAAGAAUAAAUGCACUUGAAACUCUUACGGCUGGGGCCACUGAAGAGAAUAAGGUAGUUUCUUUGUUGAUUAAGCUGGGGGUGUGAAACUUUGCUGUAGGGAAUAGAAAUGCAUAUGAGUUCUGUUGCUGAGAAGGUAUUUCUUUAUAGAUCCUCAUUUUUGUUAGAAGUUAAAACUUGAAGUUGUUAUUUUCAGCAUGAUUAAGUAGCUCAA
Arachis ipaensis is the source of this 516-nucleotide non-coding RNA. NCBI's taxonomy places the organism in Eukaryota, Viridiplantae, Streptophyta, Magnoliopsida, Fabales, Fabaceae. The record is from RefSeq and is a predicted model, not a curated record.